This 71-nucleotide transfer RNA is filed under the name Bos taurus (domestic cattle). It matches the Rfam family "tRNA". From Rfam's summary of the family: Transfer RNA (tRNA) molecules are approximately 80 nucleotides in length. Their secondary structure includes four short double-helical elements and three loops (D, anti-codon, and T loops). Further hydrogen bonds mediate the characteristic L-shaped molecular structure. tRNAs have two regions of fundamental functional importance: the anti-codon, which is responsible for specific mRNA codon recognition, and the 3' end, to which the tRNAs corresponding amino acid is attached (by aminoacyl-tRNA synthetases). tRNAs cope with the degeneracy of the genetic code in two manners: having more than one tRNA (with a specific anti-codon) for a particular amino acid; and 'wobble' base-pairing, i.e. permitting non-standard base-pairing at the 3rd anti-codon position. RNAcentral also lists the same sequence under 2 other names. Lineage: Eukaryota; Metazoa; Chordata; Mammalia; Artiodactyla; Bovidae. The record is from Rfam by way of RNAcentral.
UCCCAGGUGACUCAGUGGUAAAGAAUCUGCCUUGCAAGCAGUUGACCCAAGUUCAGUCCCUGGGUUGGGAA